RNAcentral lists this ribosomal RNA (494 nucleotides) under uncultured bacterium. RNAcentral describes it as "partial 16S ribosomal RNA". It matches the Rfam family "Bacterial small subunit ribosomal RNA", at positions 28 to 507 of the family's 1533-position model. The record is from RNAcentral.
GACGAACGCUGGCGGCGUGCUUAACACAUGCAAGUCGAACGGUGAAGCGCCUUCCUUUUUGGUGGGUGUGGAUGAGUGGCGAACGGGUGAGUAACACGUGAGUAACCUGCCCCCUUCUUCUGGAUAACCGCAUGAAAGUGUGGCUAAUACGGGAUAUUCUGGGUCUGUCGCAUGAUGGGUCUGGGAAAGAUAUUGUUUCGGUGGGGGAUGGGCUCGCGGCCUAUCAGCUUGUUGGUGGGGUGACGGCCUACCAAGGCGGUGACGGGUAGCCGGCCUGAGAGGGUUGACGGUCACACUGGGGCUGAGACGCGGCCCAGACUCCUGCGGGAGGCAGCAGUGGGGAAUCUUGCACAAUGGGCGCCAGCCUGAUGCAGCGCCGCCGCGUGAGGGAUGGAGGCCUUCGGGUUGUGAACCUCUUUCGCCAGUGAAGCAGGCCUGCCUCGUUUGUGGGUGGGUUGACGGUAGCUGGAUAAGAAGCGCCGGCUAACUACGUG